ACCCUUUAGUGUUAGACAAAUUUGUCUAGUCGGGCGUUACGCCAGACUCAAACUUAUUGGAGAA
This 64-nucleotide small RNA is filed under the name Vibrio chagasii. RNAcentral's name for it is "msr". It matches the Rfam family "Retron msr RNA". Rfam says of the family: Retron elements are found in a wide range of mainly Gram-negative bacteria. The retron encodes a reverse transcriptase that is responsible for the production of a small satellite DNA called msDNA (multi-copy single-stranded DNA). msDNA has both DNA (encoded by the retron msd gene) and RNA (encoded by the msr gene) components. The 5' end of msDNA is linked to an internal guanosine residue of the RNA strand by a 2'-5' linkage. Lineage: Bacteria; Pseudomonadati; Pseudomonadota; Gammaproteobacteria; Vibrionales; Vibrionaceae. The record is from RNAcentral.